RNAcentral lists this ribosomal RNA (440 nucleotides) under uncultured bacterium. RNAcentral's name for it is "partial 16S ribosomal RNA". It matches the Rfam family "Bacterial small subunit ribosomal RNA", at positions 338 to 795 of the family's 1533-position model. The record is from RNAcentral.
CCUACGGGAGGCUGCAGUGGGGAAUAUUGCACAAUGGGGGAAACCCUGAUGCAGCGACGCCGCGUGAGUGAAGAAGGAUCUCGGUAUGUAAAGCUCUAUCAGCAGGGAAGAUAAUGACGGUACCUGACCAAGAAGCCCCGGCUAACUACGUGCCAGCAGCCGCGGUAAUACGCAGGGGGCAAGCGUUAUCCGGAUUGACUGGGUGUAAAGGGAGCGUAGACGGCAGCGCAAGUCUGGAGUGAAAGCCCGGGGCUUAACCCCGGAACUGCUUUGGAAACUGUGCGGCUGGAGUGCAGGAGGGGUAGGCGGAAUUCCUAGUGUAGCGGUGAAAUGCGUAGAUAUUAGGAGGAACACCGGUGGCGAAGGCGGCUUACUGGACUGUAACUGACGUUGAGGCUCGAAAGCGUGGGGAGCAAACAGGAUUAGAUACCCCUGUAGUC